AAGUCGUAACAAGGUUUCCGUAGGUGAACCUGCGGAAGGAUCAUUACUAAAUAUCCUAAUUUAUUGGCUUUAAACCCCAAUAUAUGCACCUGUGAACUUUACCGUUUCUGACAGUGCGGCUUCUGUGAAUGUUUAAAAUUCCAGAAAAUGAGCUGUUGGUUAUUUCAUCUUUUAUUUGUAUUAAUUACUUAUCUUGUCGUAAACUAUUUGUGAAAAUGAAUAUAAUGUAACAACUUUUGUCAACGGAUCUCUUGGUUCUC
This 260-nucleotide unclassified non-coding RNA is filed under the name fungal sp. RNAcentral's name for it is "partial internal transcribed spacer region". The stretch from base 1 to 46 matches the Rfam family "Eukaryotic small subunit ribosomal RNA", at positions 1786 to 1831 of the family's 1831-position model. Lineage: Eukaryota; Fungi. The record is from RNAcentral.